Zea mays is the source of this 428-nucleotide long non-coding RNA. RefSeq lists it as uncharacterized. The transcript has 2 exons. The record is from RefSeq and is a predicted model, not a curated record. NCBI's taxonomy places the organism in Eukaryota, Viridiplantae, Streptophyta, Magnoliopsida, Poales, Poaceae.
GCAGGCAGAUGGCAGAGGCCAGCGACCGGGAGUGGGAAGCGGACGUUUCGCUUGUUGGGUGGGUGCAGUUCGUCUCCAUUCUCACCUAGCAGACAGGCUAGCUCCAGCCACCAUCAGCGCAGGAGCCCGAGCGAUCCAUGCUGGGGAGAAACAAACCUCAGUUUCGUUUCGUUUCCCCGUGGCCUGUCUGCAGAGUGCUUUGGAGUUGGUGCGGCACAAACCCCGUUCAGUCAAUAAAACACGCUGACGCAUUGCCAAACUGCCUAGUGCCUACUAGUACUCUACCUCUACCUCCGGUGUGUCAGUGCGCGUGGUAGUGCGUGCCCAUUAAGCGGCAGGCGCGUAGCUAGGCUGGUCCAGGGAAAUGGGAAUAUUCGUUUCGUUCCCACCAUAAUGCUCGCGAUAAGAAUUCUUACCCUAUUUUUUUA